RNAcentral lists this ribosomal RNA (254 nucleotides) under uncultured bacterium. RNAcentral's name for it is "partial 16S ribosomal RNA". It matches the Rfam family "Bacterial small subunit ribosomal RNA", at positions 524 to 776 of the family's 1533-position model. The record is from RNAcentral.
UACGGGGGGAGCAAGCGUUGUUCGGAUUUACUGGGCGUAAAGGGCGCGUAGGCGGCCACCGCAAGUCGACUGUGAAAUCUCCGGGCUUAACCCGGAAAGGUCAGCCGAUACUGCGGGGCUAGAGUGCAGAAGGGGCAACUGGAAUUCUCGGUGUGGCGGUGAAAUGCGUAGAUAUCGAGAGGAACACCUGCGGCGAAGGCGGGUUGCUGGGCUGACACUGACGCUGAUGCGCGAAAGCUAGGGGAGCGAACGGG